RNAcentral lists this ribosomal RNA (440 nucleotides) under uncultured bacterium. RNAcentral's name for it is "partial 16S ribosomal RNA". It matches the Rfam family "Bacterial small subunit ribosomal RNA", at positions 338 to 795 of the family's 1533-position model. The record is from RNAcentral.
CCUACGGGGGGCAGCAGUGGGGAAUAUUGCACAAUGGGGGAAAGCCUGAUGCAGCGACGCCGCGUGAAGGUAGAAGUAUUUCGGUAUGUAAACUUCCAUUAGCAGGGAAGAAAAUGACGGUACCUGACUAAGAAGCGCCGGCUAACUACGUGCCAGCAGCCGAGGUACUACGGAGGUGGCAAGCGUUAUCCGGAUUUACUGGGUGUAAGGGGAGCGUAGGCGGUGCAGCAGGUAAGAAGUGAAAGCCCGGGGCUCAACUCCGGGACUGCCUUUGAACCUGUUGAACUAGAUGGCAGGAGAGGUAAGUGGAAUUCCUGGUGUAGCGGUGAAAUGCGUAGAUAUUACGAGGAACACCAGUUGCGAAGGCAGCUUACUGGACUGUAAAUGACGCUGAGGCACGAAAGCGUGGGGAGCAAACAGGAUUAGAUACCCCAGUAGUC